AUUGAACGCUGGCGGCAGGCCUAACACAUGCAAGUCGAGCGGAUGAAGGGAGCUUGCUGCUGGAUUCAGCGGCGGACGGGUGUGUAAUGCCUAGGAAUCUGCCUGGUAGGGGGGUAUAAAGUCGGGAAACGGGCGCUAAUACCGCAUACGCCCUGAGGGAGAAAGUGGGGGAGCUUCGGACCUCACGCUAUCAGAUGAGCCUAGGUCGGAUUAGCUAGUUGGUGGGGUAAAGGCCUACCAAGACGACGAUCCGUAACUGGUCUGAGAGGAUGAUCAGUCACACUGGAACUGAGACACGGUCCAGACUCCUACGGGAGGCAGCAGUGGGGAAUAUUGGACAAUGGGCGAAAGCCUGAUCCAGCAAUGCCGCGUGUGUGAAGAAGGUCUUCGGAUUGUAAAGCACUUUAAGUUGGGAGGAAGGGCAGUAAGUUAAUACCUUGCUGUUUUGACGUUACCAAAAGAAUAAGCACCGGCUAACUUCGUG
Molecule: ribosomal RNA, 484 nt
Filed under: uncultured bacterium
Lineage: Bacteria
Description: partial 16S ribosomal RNA
Rfam family: Bacterial small subunit ribosomal RNA
Source: RNAcentral